Molecule: long non-coding RNA, 450 nt
Filed under: Calidris pugnax (ruff)
Lineage: Eukaryota; Metazoa; Chordata; Aves; Charadriiformes; Scolopacidae
Description: lncRNA (ENSCPUG00000010103.1)
Source: RNAcentral
AGCAGCAGCCAGCUUCGUGCUUCACCUUCAAGUGCCCCUUUACUGUAUGCAAGCACCUGUGGAGGCUAAAAUCACCUGAAGGUGAUUGCCUGGACAACCAGCACUGAGUAAGCAAGGUCAAAGAGACGCACUACGUGCAUGGAGCAAAAGAUACUGAAGUUUCUGGCAUUACUUAGCUCUUUUGGAAACCUGUUCUUCGUUUCAUGAAGAAGUCUUGAAUACCCCACAAGAGGCCCCAUCUCUCGUGCAGAUGAACUCUCACCUUUCUAUGGAGUGUCCUGUCGGGACAGAGAGCUGUAAUUGAUGAUUAUGGUCUUCAUCCUGGAUGCAUAUGUUAAAAUCUUGAACUCUGAAGGGCAUGCCCUCCUCAGUGAAAUGAGGUAACUGAUGGUAAUUGCUGAAUAAGGAAUUUUGGACUGCGCCAUAGAAUAAACUCCAAGUGGCCCUCCA